This 119-nucleotide ribosomal RNA is filed under the name Vitis vinifera (wine grape). Lineage: Eukaryota; Viridiplantae; Streptophyta; Magnoliopsida; Vitales; Vitaceae. The record is from RNAcentral.
GGGUGUGAUCAUACCAAUAUUAAUGCAUUGGAUCCCAUCAAAAUUUUGCAGUUAAGUGUGCUUAGGCGAGAGUAGUACUAGGAUGGGUGACCUCCUAGGAAGUCCUUGUGUUGCACCAU